RNAcentral lists this microRNA precursor (228 nucleotides) under Arabidopsis lyrata. Its description in RNAcentral is "miR162a stem-loop (aly-MIR162a)". Its record names the gene aly-MIR162a. The stretch from base 58 to 166 matches the Rfam family "MIR162_1 microRNA precursor family". Lineage: Eukaryota; Viridiplantae; Streptophyta; Magnoliopsida; Brassicales; Brassicaceae. The record is from miRBase by way of RNAcentral.
GAUUCGGGAAAUUUUAUGUUUCUUUGCCAUUUUUUUUGGAGUUUAGUUGGAAAAAGAGUGAGAGUCGCUGGAGGCAGCGGUUCAUCGAUCUCUUCCUGGGAACGAAUAUAUAAAUAUUGAAAAAGCAUGAAUAGAUCGAUAAACCUCUGCAUCCAGCGUUUGCCUCUUUAUCUUUGUUAUUGGCUUCAAUUUUUUUGGUUUUUGAAAAAAGUGAGGGAAAACAGAGUC